GGGAUCCACUACCCAAUGAUUUGGAAUUGUUGAGUUUGUUUAAGAACACAUGUUUUAUAUUACUGACAAUUUAUAUCAACUUCUGUUGCGUAUCCUAUCGUGGGACCAUUGUUCCACCUUCCAAUAACGGUCACAAUUUACUAAUACAGAAUUCUGAAGUUAGUACUAAAUGUUCUUCCACUAGGAAAUUAAAAUUAAAAAGCAUUGUUGAAAAUUAAUUUCUGAAUAAGCACACACAGAUUGAUGGGAGGAUUAGACUUUGUCACGUUUCCCAUUAAUGCCAACUCCAAAUGAAUGUAUUAUAAUUACAUAUGUUAUGGAGCUUUUUAAAUUGUAGCAGCUGAAUAAUAUAUCAAAAUUACUUAGUGUCGAUCUUGUUCUUCCCGGUUUCGAGGUGCUAAAGGACGUAUUUCAAAUUGUCAAGUAGCGUUAUUGUUCUUGUAAUCAAGGCCAAGAAUAUAGGUUUGAUGUCUUAUUGCUGAAAAAAAAUGAUCUGGCUGUAAUAUGAUAAAAGCACUCUAAAUGUCUUUGUCCAAAUAUUAGACAUUUAUUUGAUUGCAUACUGAAAAUAUUUGGCUCCUUGGAGAUGUUGGAAUAAUUGUUCUAUCACUAAAUAGCUCUUGGCUACAGGAGAGCGGGAGAGAAGUUCACAAGCCGUAGCUCAAUUAUUAAAUUAAUAUAAUGUUAUAUUCAUGGAUAUAAAAUUUACCAUCUAAGCUUACAAUCUAAUAUGGGGGAGGCCAUACAUGGAAACUCUUCUGUAUGCUACCAGUAUGUCCUUAUUAUCGAACCAAGGAAAGUUAAUCUGUAAUAUAAUUUUUGUCCAUAAAACGGCAAAUGCAGAAUUUGAAUAGAGUUUGAAGAACAUUAAUACAAAGGAAAUUAUUACUUA
This is a long non-coding RNA of Spea bombifrons (plains spadefoot toad), 892 nucleotides long. RefSeq lists it as uncharacterized. The record is from RefSeq and is a predicted model, not a curated record. The transcript is spliced from 2 exons. Lineage: Eukaryota; Metazoa; Chordata; Amphibia; Anura; Pelobatidae.